AUUUCCCUCAAUGUGGUAAGUGUGGUUAAAAUUGUAUCGAUGUGUUUGCAGAAAUCUGCACGAUAUCGCCUAGCUGCCGUUUUUUUUUUUUGCAUCUUUUCACGCAUCGGAAUUGUUUACAAAAGUUGUUUCACUCGAAAAAUUGUUGGUGAAAGGUACAGAAAACGAUACGAUGAUUUUGACACAAAAUGCACUAGCGGGGUUUCGCUAGUUCGCGGUUUUGCCAUUGAUAAUCAGUGUGCCGAAGAUAAAAAGAGGUGAAUGAGGUCUCUAAGACCCAGAGCCUCUAUAAAUAAACGAAAAAAAGUGUGCCGAAGUCAUCGUACCCGCCGGCAGAUGGCACUAAUCGUGAUAGAGUUAAAUGCGCAUUGUCCAGGAUGAUCGUGCCCAUAGUAGCUCCGCAAACUUUCUUGCGAUUGAUCAGUCUCCAGCAACAGUUCAAAUGCACGAUACAGUGCACACCGAUACGUCUGGUAGUCCUCUACGGGCACGCGGUCUGGACAGUGCUGACUUGUUGGAGUGUGCGACCCCUGCACAUAUUUGACAGUUCCUAUUUUUGUUCCUUGAGAACGUUCAUUUCUGUUGUGUUGGCUAUCGGGCCCUAGUUUGUUUUCAGUUGUGUUUCUUUCCGCGUCUUCUGAAAACGACGGUCGAAUCUCAACCAUAAAAUGCUUUUCUAUACUGUAAACGUGCAUUUGUUCGAAAAGCUCAAAUGUCAAAGUUUGGCAGUUGGUGUUGUGAUGCAACCUGGAGAAUUAUGAAAUAUAGAAUUCAAUUUCCGUUGAGAAGACAAAGGAGAAGCACGCACAUUUCGGCGUCUUGUGUUAUUUAGUUUAUUUUUGGAAAGUUUACAAUACAAAACAAAUAUUCAACGUUAGGUUGUUGGCCUAGGAUCGAUGGUAUUGUGCGGGUUGUGCAAGAUACUGUAAAGUUGUGUUGUGCUUAGUUGUGUCUCAAACUUGUGUGUUAGUGCAAAAAGAUCGUCACACUCUGCAGCUGUUCGAUGGGUCCAACUGUGCCGCAUGGAAGUUUUGGAUGACGAUAGGAUGUGUGGAACGCACUAGAGCGCGUAUUACAGCGGUACAGUAUUGUAAGUAAGAUGCACCUGAAGCGGUCGAGCGGCUAUCGCUUCGUUUUGAUGGCGGGACGACACAAGAAAUUCCUUUAGUUCGAUCAUUUUUUGCGGUAUUAUCCGGCGCUACCGGCGCUGUGUAGGAUGUCACUCAUUACUUACUCUAGAAUCUUCAUUUUCGAAUGUUUUAACCAAAGUCUAUAUAGGACAGAGGUCGACGCAUCCCAUACAAACUGACAGAAAGCUGUGGGAACGUUCUGGAAGUUCAGGUAGGAGGUGUUUACUGCUUUUUAGCUGGUGCUGCUGUUGGUACCGGAUCCUUAAGCACCUCCAGCUGCUAGUGUGUGAUCCUUGAAGUCUUGUUAAGACUUUUUGAGAUAAAAUUUAUCUUUUUGCACCGUGAAAACAUGCGGGGAACCUUAUUGUGCCAUGCAACUGCUUCUGUUGUUUGUAAACAAUUUUCGAUCCAAACAUUAAAAGUCGGGUGCAAAAUGCCGGACAUUUGCUAAGAUUCGACCUUUGUCCUACAUAGACCUUGGUUUUAACUGCAAUAGAAACAAUGCUCGAGGAAAAUUUAAACGGUGUAACGUCCUACCAUUACUGACCACUGUGCACAUUAGACCGGCUGUCAGUCAGAUGACAAGUAAUAUUUUGUCCACCGCGACCAGAACCAGUGUGGACCUGCCAACAGAAUAAAGCUCUCCCUUCUUCUGGCGACCUCGAGUACGACUGAACAUGAUACCGUAUGGGUAGAAACCUUCGGGUUCCUAUUUUCUUCUUUUAUUCUGAUAUUUUACCAACGUUGAAUUUGUGAAGUGUUGUUUGCUGCAUGGUGAGACGAAGAUAAAGGGUGUUCAGAUCGAUACCGUAGAGCUUAAGCAAUUGGUGUGCAGUAGAAUGGCCUGAUCGAGCUGAGUUCGAGGAUUAUCCUUUCAAAUAGUUUACCCAACGCACAGAGUAAACUGAUGGGCUGAUAGCUAGCUCUCCAGACGAGUAGGAUCUUUAGCGAGCUUGAGAAUGGGAACCACCUUUGUAACCCAGCGCAAGACACCGCAGUGUGCUCCAAGUCAGUCCAGCUUUGAUGCAGGCGGUCCAUCUGUGUUGGCGUUUCGUUCGGGAGUGGUCGACGGGUACAGCCCCAUAAACAGUGGAGUUACUCCUUCUGUUGUGAGAUGGAAUUCGCCGAUUGCUUUUGAGUUCGAUGUUGACUUGGUUGAUCACGGGCUGUGUCAUUGCUGGGCUGCUUGGAGAGCUGUACUUGUUUGUUCCAGUCCAGCCCCACAUCACAACACUACAAUAGACAACCGGAAUGAACCAACCACCAUCGAAGCCAUAGCCCCAGUAAUAGAACCGGACCAAAAAACUCACAACACACACACAGUAGAAAUUGACUCAUCUUCUCUUGGAAUAGGAGGAAAUGGCUAGUUAAUUUUGAUCAAAUGUUUUUUUUUUUUUGGUGAAUUUAAGAUUCGCAGUCAUCACACGCGGUGAUGACAAUACGGCGCAUGAGCGUAAUAAUAAAUAUAUAAAAAAAUAAAUAAAUAAAUGUUAAAGAAUCCUUCUAAACUGGGAGCCUUCAUGUUUUUCAUCCUCUCCAGCGCAUGGCGGACGUUUUCCACGGUCUUAGCAAGUGUGCACUAGCGAAUUGUGCAUUGAGCGAAUUGAGCUUCAGCUGUUAGAAUAUUUCAAAGACUUUUUUUUGCAUUCCACAUUCCAAUAGAAUAGGGAAGAUCGAAUGAUUUCUUAGCUUUAUGUUCAACCAUAACAGAAAUGAAGACUCACACAUUGACGAUAUUAUCGAACGCACGUCUCAGCAAACUGUAAACACGGCAUGGUACUUCUUGGUAGUUAAGUUCAAAGCUUAUCUGAACAGAGAUUACACUGUUCUUUCGUAGUGCCCUUCUUUCGUACUGCCCACAGUAAGCUAACAGAAGGUGUCGUAAAACCAUGUUCUUCUUUAUUUUCGAUUAUGAUGGGACGCAUCAUUUUUGCUUUUCCUCGAACCCACAAGUCAACUUGAGACCACCAACAUUAAGGUGUUAUCGGAUUCUCCGAAGAAUUAACGCCGUACCCUUAUCCAAUGAAGAGAGGAGAUAACGCAGAACAAUGUGCACGACAUACAUUUGCAGCAGAACGGGAAUCCGGAGCGCGGAAUCAAAAACGAGUCUUGAUGCUGAUAUUUUUUCUUAAUGCUCUAAUUGAUACUUGAUUUUUGAUACAUAAAGCUUUUACUGAUUUAUUGUGGAGAGGUGAAAACAUGGGCUGGUAAUGAUUGUUCGGCUUUGGUAAUGCAAGCAAUAGAGCGUUACCUUCGGUAAUAGUGCAUUUUUGCCUACCUCACAGGGUCAUACGGCUCAUAGGGGGAUAGGUAUGUUUCCUGCUACGGGGUGCGGUGUUCUCUUCUUAAAGGAACUUAAGUCGAUCACUUAAAUAUUGCUCGCUGAAAACUAUUCCACUCAACUUUCUAAUCACGCACGUAUUCGACAAUGUUUCAAGGUUUAUAUUGGAACUUUUGAUUUCGUUCUAGCUCUUACCCACUCUCCCUUCUUGGGCUAACAAGAGGGGGAGAACGGUCCGGAAUGGGAUUUGAAUCCCGGGUUCCACCUUAUGAACACCGGCGCCGUUUUCGCCUCUACCACCGGACCACCCCCUUUUUUACUGGCCUCCACUAACACAACUGUUUGCUGUUAUUGGAACGGAAUCGUUGGUUCAGCUUUCUUAGCAAACAUUCAUCGAUGUGUUGAACAUUUCCGAAAAACGUUGGGAUGUUCCAUUAUGCGAAUUACAAGCCAGAUUAUACACUGCACUACACC
Molecule: long non-coding RNA, 3885 nt
Organism: Anopheles stephensi (Asian malaria mosquito)
Lineage: Eukaryota; Metazoa; Arthropoda; Insecta; Diptera; Culicidae
Exons: 3
Source: RefSeq, a predicted model, not a curated record